Molecule: ribosomal RNA, 395 nt
Filed under: Pseudomonas aeruginosa
Lineage: Bacteria; Pseudomonadati; Pseudomonadota; Gammaproteobacteria; Pseudomonadales; Pseudomonadaceae
Description: bacterial SSU rRNA
Rfam family: Bacterial small subunit ribosomal RNA
Source: RNAcentral
AUGCAGUCGAGCGGAUGAGGGAGCUUGCUCCUGGAUUCAGCGGCGGACGGGUGAGUAAUGCCUAGGAAUCUGCCUGGUAGUGGGGGAUAACGUCCGGAAACGGGCGCUAAUACCGCAUACGUCCUGAGGGAGAAAGUGGGGGAUCUUCGGACCUCACGCUAUCAGAUGAGCCUAGGUCGGAUUAGCUAGUUGGUGGGGUAAAGGCCUACCAAGGCGACGAUCCGUAACUGGUCUGAGAGGAUGAUCAGUCACACUGGAACUGAGACACGGUCCAGACUCCUACGGGAGGCAGCAGUGGGGAAUAUUGGACAAUGGGCGAAAGCCUGAUCCAGCCAUGCCGCGUGUGUGAAGAAGGUCUUCGGAUUGUAAAGCACUUUAAGUUGGGAGGAAGGGCA